Molecule: ribosomal RNA, 468 nt
Filed under: uncultured bacterium
Lineage: Bacteria
Description: partial 16S ribosomal RNA
Rfam family: Bacterial small subunit ribosomal RNA
Source: RNAcentral
GACGAACGCUGGCGGCGUGCUUAACACAUGCAAGUCGAACGGAAAGGCCCUGCUUUUGUGGGGUUCUCGAGUGGCGAACGGGUGAGUAACACGUGAGUAACCUGCCCUUGACUUUGGGAUAACUUCAGGAAACUGGGGCUAAUACCGGAUAGGAGCUCCUGCUGCAUGGUGGGGGUUGGAAAGUUUCGGCGGUUGGGGAUGGACUCGCGGCUUAUCAGCUUGUUGGUGGGGUAGUGGCUUACCAAGGCUUUGACGGGUAGCCGGCCUGAGAGGGUGACCGGCCACAUUGGGACUGAGAGACGGCCCAGACGCCUACGGGAGGCAGCAGUGGGGAAUAUUGCACAAUGGGCGGAAGCCUGAUGCAGAAACGCCGCGUGCGGGAUGACGGCCUUCGGGUGGUAAACCGAUUUCGCAUGUGACGAAGCGUGAGUGACGGUAAUGGGUAAAGAAGCACCGGCUAACUACGUG